GGAGGGAUGCAGUUCAGUGGCUGAGCAUCUAUUUUGCACGCAGAAGGCCGUAGGUUCAAUUCCUGGCAUCUCCA
Molecule: non-coding RNA, 74 nt
Organism: Podarcis lilfordi (Lilford's wall lizard)
Lineage: Eukaryota; Metazoa; Chordata; Lepidosauria; Squamata; Lacertidae
Source: the annotation of a GenBank genome assembly